UACGUAGGGUGCAAGCGUUGUCCGGAAUUAUUGGGCGUAAAGAGCUCGUAGGCGGUUUGUUGCGUCGGCUGUGAAAACCUGAGGCUCAACCUCAGGCCUGCAGUCGAUACGAGCAGACUAGAGUGUUGCAGGGGAGACUGGAAUUCCUGGUGUAGCGGUGAAAUGCGCAGAUAUCAGGAGGAACACCGGUGGCGAAGGCGGGUCUCUGGGCAACAACUGACGCUGAGGAGCGAAAGCGUGGGUAGCGAACAGG
RNAcentral lists this ribosomal RNA (253 nucleotides) under uncultured bacterium. RNAcentral's name for it is "partial 16S ribosomal RNA". It matches the Rfam family "Bacterial small subunit ribosomal RNA", at positions 524 to 776 of the family's 1533-position model. The record is from RNAcentral.